Long non-coding RNA from Gambusia affinis (western mosquitofish), 893 nucleotides. RefSeq lists it as uncharacterized. The transcript is spliced from 3 exons. The record is from RefSeq and is a predicted model, not a curated record. Lineage: Eukaryota; Metazoa; Chordata; Actinopteri; Cyprinodontiformes; Poeciliidae.
CUGAUAUUUGCUCAUUCGUAUUUUUGAGGCAGAAAACCUCCAGGAAUGCAUCACUAAAGGAACUUCAGGAAUAUCCAGGAAGUCUUAAACCUAUGGCUGGAGACGCAUCCCUGAAACAACAAAUCUGUUCCUGCAAGAAGGACUGAACAUGGACCCUUGAGAUAACAGAGCCCAAACUGGAGUACGGGCCAUGCUAGUUGGGUGUUGGGUCUGACCUCUGAACCCCCUUCACUGGAGGCUCCUUCAGCUUUGUUUUGGGCCUCCGUCCCCCUUGCCAAGGUGAAUCAGACCCCGGGCGGGUCACAGAGAGAGGGAGCCACUGGGGGUCUCAUUGUCUUCCUAUUCACUUCAUAGAUAAGUGGACAUCAGACGCUCCCUUAUAGCCACACACACUGAAGGCACAAUUUCCACACAAAGUGACAGCUCCCAGUGCGAGAGGAAUGCAUGUGAAUUGAGGAGGUUCAAAGAAGCAACAAUGUAGGAGUAUUCGCCAAGCACAGUUUCUCCUUCUUUUUAUAAUUUUGUGCAACUUAUGCAACAAUAGGAAAGAUUACCGUCAAACAAUUUAUUCUGCUGUGAAAAUUCCCUAUGAAGCAUACUUAAUCCAUCAGGAAAGAAUCUAUAUGAAGCUGUGCAAAGCGUUUUCCACCUACAUUAGAGAGAAACGCUUUCUUAAAUCAGUGAUUCAGCAGGAUUGACCAGUGCAGGCUUAUUCUGCCUUUUGUGCUUUAGGGGGCAGGAGAGAGUCAGAGGAAAAAGAUAAGAGCCGUGAAGCUGGAGCAAACCUGUGGCUGGGGGGAGAUUAGGAGGUAACUCUGAGGGGAAACCUGUCCCCCACCCCCAUGUACAUAUUCUGGGCCGAGACCAGCAGAUGAGGAUUAUUUCAGACUACA